This 24-nucleotide small nuclear RNA is filed under the name Arabidopsis thaliana (thale cress). Its description in RNAcentral is "snRNA_00502". The record is from RNAcentral. Lineage: Eukaryota; Viridiplantae; Streptophyta; Magnoliopsida; Brassicales; Brassicaceae.
UGAGGAAUGAAGAUCGAUGAAGAA